AAUUAGCAUACCAAUGAAUUUAAAGAUUCUUUAAAGAGUCUUAUUUUGUGAUGAAAAUUUAAUAUAAAUCUCAGACGAUAGAUAAAUUAAAAACUCUAUCCUUUUUUUU
RNAcentral lists this small RNA (109 nucleotides) under Streptococcus pneumoniae 06-01-003MEF. RNAcentral's name for it is "Streptococcus sRNA SpF39". It matches the Rfam family "Streptococcus sRNA SpF39". Lineage: Bacteria; Bacillati; Bacillota; Bacilli; Lactobacillales; Streptococcaceae. The record is from Rfam by way of RNAcentral.